UGGAAGCACAAAUCGGAGACCAAUCAGCUCAAUGGACUGCUUGCUUUGAAUUUCUUAAGAAAGGCUUGUUUUCUUUUAAGUGUACGUGAAAGGGAAUACAUUCCUCGCUGUCGUCUGAUUGCAACAAUUAGUUUCCCUGCCACGAAGAAUCACAAGCGGAGCAUUGACUCCUGCUGGCCUCCCGCCCACCAGUGUGCCAAGAAACAGUCCAUUUUGAAAACACGGUGUGCCUUUGAGGGAGAAGCUGAAUACUUUCUCCCAUUAAGUCGGGCAACAGGCAGCUUAUCGGCCAUUUUCGCGCAAUCAAUUCUCUUGGCGACCCAAGGGCACCGUCCGCUGAAAUUUACACAAUGCCCUUCGUUUCAGCAGGGCUUGCACAGAGCCGAAGAGAAAACCAGCGAGAGAAGUAGCUGAUCCAGGAAGUGGAGCAAAGCCUGGAGUGUGAAGACAUGCAAUAGUAUCUAAUCAUUACACAAACUGUAAAAAGGUAAAGGGACCCCUGACCAUUAGGUCCAGUCGUGACCGACUCUGGGGUUGCGGCGCUCAUCUUGCUUUAUUGGCCCAGGGAGCCGGCGUACAGCUUCCGGGUCAUGUGGCCAGCAUGACUAAGCCACUUCUAGCGAACCAGAGCAGUGCACAGAAACGCUGUUUACCUUCCCGCUGGAGUGGUACCUAUUUAUCUACUUGCACUUUGACGUGCUUUCGAACUGCUAGGUUGGCAGGAGGAGGGACCGAGCAACGGGAGCUCACCCCGUCGCUGAUCGGCAAGUCCUAGGCUCUGUGGUUUAACCCACAGCGCCACCCGCAAACAAACUGUAGCAAAUCAGAAAUUCAGCAGCCACAGGUGAAUGGAGAACUAAGUUGCAAUUAAUGCAAAGGAAGAGGAGGGUAUGAACGCAAGAAAAGCCCUGCAGGAUCAGGCCAAAGGCCUAUGUGGUCCAGCAUUCUGCUUGCCACAGCAACCAGCCAGACAACUCUGAGGAGCACACAAGGAUGUGGCUGCCAUAGUGCACUCCUGCAAGGAAUCUUGUCAGUGCAAAUCCACAGAAACCUAAACGCAAGUGAAUUUUUCAGGGCCACCCCAUUCCUGUGAUUGUUGUUUUCUUUUGUUUUGCCCUUUUCUGAACUUUUUCCAUCUCCUCAAUACUCUUUUUGAGGUGAGGAGACUACGCUCUCCCAUAGCAGGUUCAUUUCCAAUGACAAUAACAGAAAACACUCUUACGGUUCUCCUCCGAUUUUACCAAAAGAAUAAUGCACCAAUGUCUCCUGUUCCCCUUCACCUCUAUUUUACUUUACAUGUAAUCUGAUGAAGAUUUAUAGGGGACUCCAAAGCUCGCCCAAUAUUUCUUUUUUUUUUUUAAGAUAUAAGAAGAUUAAUAUAAUUAUCAUCAUAUAUACUCCUGGUAUUGAACACAAUUAUAAAAUUUAUAGAAAAGACAUUUAAAACUGACUUCCAAUUAAUCUCACUGUACUUUGUCUAUCCAUUACUUUAUACCUCACAGUUACAUAUUUCUUAUAUAAUUUCUUUUUAGCUCCCUACAAACUUAUAUUUAUACAAUACAGGGAUUAGUCUAAUUCUGCCAAGAUGUUUCCUUUUAUUCCAUAGUUUUUCUAAAUAUUCUUUAAAGAUUCUCCAAUCCUUAUAGACUUUUAUAGCUCACCCAAUAUUUCAUGACAUUUAUGCUGGUCCCAAUAAAUUGCCCAACUGCGUGGACCAACACACAGCUAACUGUGUAUUUUUCAAAGUGCAAAAUAGCACCCCUAAUUUCAUCUGUGAAAUGCUGGGACUGACAGUGCAUAGGUGCUCGUACGCACGAAUAGAACAUUUUGGUGGCAAUUGUAGAAUCCAAGUUAUUGGACUCUUGCAGACCAAACUUGUUCCGCAGGGACCCAGCUCCUACAGUCCUGACCUCUCCAAGCCUUUCUUUGGGAUCAAUUAACCUAAAUGGCUGACCUCUUUCUCCCAAUCUGUUUCUCUCCCACUUAAAAAAAAACCACCCAGGCAGAUAUGAGCACUCUUGUGAAGAGGCUCUGAUUGCCCUAUUGUUUUCAAAAGUGGUUGCAUGUGGAGCAAGGCUGAUGGUAGGUAGCUGCUGGAGAAAACUCUGUACCACUUAACCGCCACGUUCCUCCUGGGGUCAUUAAUUAGGACCAGAAAAAGAAACUAAAAUAAAGAUCAUGGAGGUACUUAACGUGAUUGCUAGGAGCAACGCAGAACCGAAAAGGGCAGAGUCAAUGGACAUCAAAGAUGCUGUGGAUCUGAAAAUGAAAUCUGUCUUAAGAAUGAUACAAAACGUCCCUGACUAGCAGGGAUGUGGAGAUGUCACUUGUCCAGGGUCUAGCUCAGCCUUCCCCAACCUGGUGCCCUUCAGAUGCUUUGAACAACAACCAGGAAUGAAAAGGGAAAAUAUCCCACAUGUACCGGUGAGUCCAAUCUUCAUAAAAAGGGGAUGGGGAAGGAAGGAAGGGGAAUAAAAGUUCAGGCUAAGUUCAAAUUGAAAGCUAGGUGGAAUAGCUCUGUCUUACAGGCCCUGUGGAAGGAAGUUAAUUCCUGCAGGGCCCUGGUCUCAUGGGACAGAGCAUUCCACCAGGUCGGUGCCAUCACUGAGAAGGCCCUGGCCCUGGUGGAGGAUAAUCUGACUUCCUUAGACUGAUGAGGUCUAAAGGAAAGCAGAGCAAGAUGUUUGGCACCAGCAUACGAGGAGCCAUCCAACCAUCUUAGGCAGAUUUGUGUAGGGUUUACUCCUUUCCCUUUUCUUCUCCUGAAGAUAUCCCGUAUGUACCGGUGAGUCCGAGUCAGUAUAAGACAAUUCUGUUAUAUUCCUAAUGGGUGUUUGAAUGCUGGAGUUUUCUUUUCCCCAGGCGCACUGAAGGGUGAUCGUGAUCAUCCAGGGCGAUUGCCUGCUUAUUCCUAUGAAACAAAAACAUAUAUCCAUAGACUAAUCAAAGGUGUUUCUAAUUUAUUUUCCAUUACCCUUAACUUUCACUUACGCUGCAGAACCCCGUCUUGUAGACCUCCCCCUUUCGCACAAAGUGUCUAUUUAAGGAAGUAGGUAAAAGAACUUAAAAAUAGCUAUUCUCAUUCAGUUUAUAACACACUUGUUAGCAUUUCUGACGUUGACAAUUCAUAGACACUAAAAUACACACGGGAGCUUGGGCUUGCCUGAGGGGGAAGCAACAUGCCCUCCGGUCACCAGGUAAAGCUAUCCAAUUUGGCUUCUAUUGACUCUUAGCCAAGUGGACCAGCUAAAAUUAAUAUCUAUCUUUGUUAUUGUAAGAUUUUGUUUCUUCUGCUGCUGCUCCCUGCCUUGGAAGGGAUUCGUGUGUUCUAGUUAACACUAGAUACAGAUCCAAAUAACUUGUGGCUUUUAUAUUUUUCCAAAGGGAGAACAUCGAUUGCUUCUUUGACCCGCUUCGUUUGAUUCAACUUGAGGCGCUGUGCUUUUGGCACACUACCUAAUUAGUCCUCAAAGAGUUUCUGGACCAUUGUCUUUAAGACACGGAGCAGAGCAGCCUCCAUCAGGAGAGAUGGAACUGCCAGUUGCUUUCUGCCAUGAUGGCUAAGGAAAGCCUCCAUCUUCACAGGAAGUAGAUCACUGUACAGUGGUACCUUGGGUUACAGAUGCUUCAGGUUACAGACUCCGCUAACCCAGAAAUAGUACCUCGGGGUAAGAACUUUGCUUCAGGAUGAGAACAGAAAUCGUGCUCUGGCGGCGGGAGGCCCCAUUAGCUAAAGUGGUACCUCAGGUUAAGAACAGUUUCAAGUUAAGAACGGACCUCCAGAACAAAUUGCCGUAUUUUGCGCCCCAUAGGACGCUCCGGCCCAUAGGACGCACCUAGUUUUUUUGGGGGGAAAUAAAGAAAAAAAAUUAUUUCCCCCCCAGGUGCGGGGCUGGAAGAACCAGGUCGGGGAAGAGCGGGAAGGCGCGCUCUGCCUCCCCGCUGUCCCCCGAGGUUGUGGGGCUGGUGAUGGGGAGAAGUGUGCUGAUCCCGGGACUGCAGGCAGCUCUGCGCAGCCACCGGGAGCGGGGCGGGACUUCGCGCCCCGCUCCCGGUGGCCGCGCAGAGCUGCGCUGAGCCCGGGACUGCAGGCAGCUCUGUGCGGCCAUCCGGAGCGGGGCGG
Podarcis muralis (Common wall lizard) is the source of this 4123-nucleotide long non-coding RNA. The record is from Ensembl. Lineage: Eukaryota; Metazoa; Chordata; Lepidosauria; Squamata; Lacertidae.